Molecule: ribosomal RNA, 327 nt
Filed under: uncultured eukaryote
Lineage: Eukaryota
Description: partial 18S ribosomal RNA
Rfam family: Eukaryotic small subunit ribosomal RNA
Source: RNAcentral
CCCUUAGAUGUUCUGGGCCGCACGCGCGCUACACUGACGAUGGCAACGAGUUUUUCCUUCGCCGAAAGGUGUGGGUAAUCUUUUGAAACAUCGUCGUGCUGGGGAUAGAUCAUUGCAAUUUUUGAUCUUGAACGAGGAAUUCCUAGUAAACGCAAGUCAUCAGCUUGCAUUGAUUACGUCCCUGCCCUUUGUACACACCGCCCGUCGCACCUACUGAUUGAGUGACUCGGUGAAAAAUUGGGACCGUGAGAAUAUUUGAUUUAUUUCGAAUGUACUUGUGGAAACUUUUUUAAACCUAUUCACUUAGAAGAAGGUGAAGUCGUAACA